This 395-nucleotide ribosomal RNA is filed under the name uncultured Glomus. Its description in RNAcentral is "partial 28S ribosomal RNA". The record is from RNAcentral. Lineage: Eukaryota; Fungi; Glomeromycota; Glomeromycetes; Glomerales; Glomeraceae.
GUGAAAUUGUUGAAAGGGAAACGAUUGAAGUCAGUCGUACCGACGAGGAAUCAACCUUUUGAGGGUGGAUAUGUGGGAUACAAAGUGCCUUUGUUUUUCGCAACAUCUGCUUUUUUUGGGUGCACUUUCUCGUAUGGUUGGUCAGCAUCGGUUUUGAUCGUUAUAAAAUGACAGGAGGAAUGUAGCUUCGAUCUCGUAUUGAAGUGUUAUUAUAGCCUUUGGUAGAUGUAACGGUUAGGAUCGAGGAUUGCAACGGAUAUCCUCAAGGGCUAACCGCCUGGCCUCUGAUUUGUCACUCUGGUGCCGAAAGCUUGCUUAUGGUAUCAAAGUGUACGGUCAAAAGGUUAGAACGGAAUAAAUUCGUUAAGGAUGUUGACGUAAUGGCUUUAAACGAC